CAGUCGCCGCGGGAAUACGGAGGGUGCAAGCGUUAAUCGGAAUUACUGGGCGUAAAGCGCACGCAGGCGGUCUGACAAGUCAGAUGUGAGAUCCCCGGGCUUAACCUGGGAACUGCAUUUGAAACUGUCAGGCUGGAGUCUUGUAGAGGGGGGUGGAAUUCCAGGUGUAGCGGUGAAAUGCGUAGAGAUCUGGAGGAAUACCGGUGGCGAAGGCGGCCCCCUGGACAAAGACUGACGCUCAGGUGCGAAAGCGUGGGGAGCAAACAGGAUUAGAUACCCCGGUAGUCCCUGUCUCUUAUAC
This 301-nucleotide ribosomal RNA is filed under the name uncultured bacterium. RNAcentral's name for it is "partial 16S ribosomal RNA". It matches the Rfam family "Bacterial small subunit ribosomal RNA", at positions 509 to 807 of the family's 1533-position model. The record is from RNAcentral.